UACGUAGGGUGCAGGCGUUAAUCGGAAUUACUGGGCGUAAAGCGUGCGCAGGCGGUUUGCUAAGACAGGUGUGAAAUCCCCGGGCUUAACCUGGGAACUGCGCUUGUUACUGGCAAGCUAGAGUGUGGCAGAGGGGGGUGGAAUUCCUGGUGUAGCGGUGAAAUGCGCAGAUAUCAGGAGGAACACCAGCGGCGAAGGCGGCGCUCUGGGCCGGAACUGACGCUGAGGAGCGAAAGCGUGGGGAGCAAACAGG
Molecule: ribosomal RNA, 253 nt
Filed under: uncultured bacterium
Lineage: Bacteria
Description: partial 16S ribosomal RNA
Rfam family: Bacterial small subunit ribosomal RNA
Source: RNAcentral